Molecule: unclassified non-coding RNA, 262 nt
Filed under: soil metagenome
Description: partial internal transcribed spacer 1
Source: RNAcentral
UUAAGAUGAAGAAGAACAGCUAUUAUGGUGGCUAUUAUGGCAGCUAUUAUGGCAGUUAUUAUGGUAAGAAGGAAGAGGCGAAACCCGAAGCAUGAGUAAGCAGCAUGAACCAUCUGAAAAACUGCAUAAUGUUUUGUAUUUUAUGUCCGGAGCGAUGGUGGUCAUUCUUGUGCUGAUCAUUGUGGUUGGUGUAAAGACGAAGGCGCAGAAUGCGUUUCGCCAGGAGACGGUGGACUACGGACCACAGGCGGAAGUGCCGGAU